CAUGGGUGACAUCACGCGGUGGGAAGGCGAGGGGCUGGGGUCGGCGAGGGCUGCUGGAGGCCGCCUGUGGGCACAUUGCUGCGGGGUGACUCAGCCCGAGACGGGGAAGAAUGCCUCACAUUCUUUCGGGAGCACCCUCCCAUUUCUGUGACUCCUCUCAGCGACAGAUCUGAGAAAGUCUGGAAGAGCAAGCACAUGCAUCCCCACAGCCCUGGAGACCUGCAAGAAGAGCUUCGUGGUAGGGCUGGACCUGGGGAGCCUGUCCCGGUCUAGAGACAAACUGCCCACAUUCACUGUUGGCUGAAGAACAGACCAGUUGCCAAUGGGAGCGUCCAUAUGGCGGAGACCAGGACAGGGCCCCCAGCUGUCACAGAUGAAUGGAGACCACCUGGCUCAGUGGCCAACCUUAUGAACAUCACAGCCAGGCUGGCCUGGGGGCCAGUGAUGCUUGCUGGUCAGUGCCUAGGGACCAGGCUGGCCUUGAAGUCAGAGUGAUCCCCCUGCUUCUGCCUUCUGAGUGCUAAAAUUAAAGGCAUAUGCCACUAUGCCUGAAGCA
This is a long non-coding RNA of Peromyscus maniculatus bairdii (prairie deer mouse), 556 nucleotides long. RefSeq lists it as uncharacterized. The record is from RefSeq and is a predicted model, not a curated record. NCBI's taxonomy places the organism in Eukaryota, Metazoa, Chordata, Mammalia, Rodentia, Cricetidae.